GCCCGCAUAGCACAGUUGGUAGAGCAGUUGAUUUGUAAUCAUCAGGUCGGGGGUUCGAAUCCCUCUGCGGGCUCCA
Molecule: transfer RNA, 76 nt
Filed under: Acidiferrobacterales bacterium
Lineage: Bacteria; Pseudomonadati; Pseudomonadota; Gammaproteobacteria; Acidiferrobacterales
Description: tRNA-Thr
Rfam family: tRNA
About the family: Transfer RNA (tRNA) molecules are approximately 80 nucleotides in length. Their secondary structure includes four short double-helical elements and three loops (D, anti-codon, and T loops).
Source: RNAcentral